Molecule: ribosomal RNA, 515 nt
Filed under: uncultured bacterium
Lineage: Bacteria
Description: partial 16S ribosomal RNA
Rfam family: Bacterial small subunit ribosomal RNA
Source: RNAcentral
GAUGAACGCUGGCGGCGUGCCUAAUACAUGCAAGUCGAGCGAAUGGAUUAAGAGCUUGCUCUUAUGAAGUUAGCGGCGGACGGGUGAGUAACACGUGGGUAACCUGCCCAUAAGACUGGGAUAACUCCGGGAAACCGGGGCUAAUACCGGAUAACAUUUUGAACCGCAUGGUUCGAAAUUGAAAGGCGGCUUCGGCUGUCACUUAUGGAUGGACCCGCGUCGCAUUAGCUAGUUUGUGAGGUAACGGCUCACCAAGGCAACGAUGCGUAGCCGACCUGAGAGGGUGAUCGGCCACACUAGGACUGAGACACGGCCCAGACUCCUACGGGAGGCAGCAGUAGGGAAUCUUCCGCAAUGGACGAAAGUCUGACGGAGCAACGCCGCGUGAGUGAUGAAGGCUUUCGGGCCGUAAAACUCUGUUGUUAGGGAAGAACAAGUGCUAGUUGAAUAAGCUGGCACCUUGACGGUACCUAACCAGAAAGCCACGGCUAACUACGUGCCAGCCGCCGCGGUAA